CCCUUGUUAGCUCAGUUGGUAGAGCGCCUCACCUCUAGUGGAGAGGUCCCGGGUUCGAUACCCGGACCAGGGG
This 73-nucleotide transfer RNA is filed under the name Ixodes scapularis (black-legged tick). It matches the Rfam family "tRNA". From Rfam's summary of the family: Transfer RNA (tRNA) molecules are approximately 80 nucleotides in length. The record is from Rfam by way of RNAcentral. Lineage: Eukaryota; Metazoa; Arthropoda; Arachnida; Ixodida; Ixodidae.